UACAGAGGUCUCAAGCGUUGUUCGGAUUCAUUGGGCGUAAAGGGCGCGUAGGCUGCGGGGCAAGUCGGGUGUGAAAUCUCAGAGCUCAACUCUGAAACUGCACUCGAUACUGCUUUGCUCGAGGACUGGAGAGGAGAUUGGAAUUCACGGUGUAGCAGUGAAAUGCGCAGAUAUCAGGAAGAACACCAAUGGCGAAGGCAGCUCUCUGGGACGGUACUGACGCUGAGACGCGAAAGCGUGGGGAGCGAACAGG
This 253-nucleotide ribosomal RNA is filed under the name uncultured bacterium. RNAcentral's name for it is "partial 16S ribosomal RNA". It matches the Rfam family "Bacterial small subunit ribosomal RNA", at positions 524 to 776 of the family's 1533-position model. The record is from RNAcentral.